This 165-nucleotide ribosomal RNA is filed under the name Echinochloa crus-galli (barnyard grass). RNAcentral describes it as "5.8S ribosomal RNA". It matches the Rfam family "5.8S ribosomal RNA". Rfam says of the family: 5.8S ribosomal RNA (5.8S rRNA) is a component of the large subunit of the eukaryotic ribosome. It is transcribed by RNA polymerase I as part of the 45S precursor that also contains 18S and 28S rRNA. Lineage: Eukaryota; Viridiplantae; Streptophyta; Magnoliopsida; Poales; Poaceae. The record is from RNAcentral.
CACACGACUCUCGGCAACGGAUAUCUCGGCUCUCGCAUCGAUGAAGAACGUAGCAAAAUGCGAUACCUGGUGUGAAUUGCAGAAUCCCGCGAACCAUCGAGUUUUUGAACGCAAGUUGCGCCCGAGGCCUUCUGGCCGAGGGCACGCCUGCCUGGGCGUCACGCC